Molecule: non-coding RNA, 122 nt
Organism: Terfezia claveryi
Lineage: Eukaryota; Fungi; Ascomycota; Pezizomycetes; Pezizales; Pezizaceae
Source: the annotation of a GenBank genome assembly
GCUGGAGUGGUGCAAUUGGUAGCACGUCGACUCUCGUAAAGCCCCCAAACGGAGUUGAGAGGAUGCGGGCCCACACGCCACAAAGGUCAUCGGAGAUCGAGGUUAAAAUCCUCGCGCUGGCA